This 72-nucleotide transfer RNA is filed under the name Ipomoea nil (Japanese morning glory). It matches the Rfam family "tRNA". Rfam says of the family: Transfer RNA (tRNA) molecules are approximately 80 nucleotides in length. Lineage: Eukaryota; Viridiplantae; Streptophyta; Magnoliopsida; Solanales; Convolvulaceae. The record is from Rfam by way of RNAcentral.
AUUAGAGUGGCGCAGCGGAAGUGUGGUGGGUUUAUAACCCACAGGUCCCAGGAUUGAAACCUAACUCUAUUU